RNAcentral lists this ribosomal RNA (317 nucleotides) under Stenotrophomonas maltophilia. RNAcentral's name for it is "partial 23S ribosomal RNA". It matches the Rfam family "Bacterial large subunit ribosomal RNA", at positions 1212 to 1531 of the family's 2925-position model. The record is from RNAcentral. Lineage: Bacteria; Pseudomonadati; Pseudomonadota; Gammaproteobacteria; Lysobacterales; Lysobacteraceae.
AACUUUGUUAUGCGCGGUAGAGGAGCGUUCCGUAAGCCGUUGAAGGUGGAUUGAGAAGUCUGCUGGAGGUAUCGGAAGUGCGAAUGCUGACAUGAGUAACGAUAAUGCGGGUGAAAAACCCGCACGCCGAAAGCCCAAGGUUUCCUUGCGCAACGUUAAUCGGCGCAGGGUGAGUCGGCCCCUAAGGCGAGGACGAAAGUCGUAGUCGAUGGGAAGCAGGUUAAUAUUCCUGCACCUCGCGUAAGUGCGAUGGAGGGACGGAGAAGGUUAGGUGUACCAGGCGUUGGUUGUCCUGGGGAAAGGCGGUAGGUUUGGAU